GACGAACGCUGGCGGCGUGCCUAAUACAUGCAAGUAGAACGCUGACUACUUUAGCUUGCUAGAGUAGAAGGAGUUGCGAACGGGUGAGUAACGCGUAGGUAACCUGCCUACUAGCGGGAGAUAACUAUUGGAAACGAUAGCUAAUACCGCAUAACAGUGUUUAACACAUGUUAGAUGCUUGAAAGAUGCAAUUGCAUCACUAGUAGAUGGACCUGCGUUGUAUUAGCUAGUUGGUGGGGUAACGGCCCACCAAGGCGACGAUACAUAGCCGACCUGAGAGGGUGAUCGGCCACACUGGGACUGAGACACGGCCCAGACUCCUACGGGAGGCAGCAGUAGGGAAUCUUCGGCAAUGGGGGCAACCCUGACCGAGCAACGCCGCGUGAGUGAAGAAGGUUUUCGGAUCGUAAAGCUCCGUUGUAAGAGAAGAACGUGUGUGAGAGUGGAAAGUUCACACAGUGACGGUAACUUACCAGAAAGGGACGGCUAACUACGUGCCAGCAGCCGCCGUAA
This 513-nucleotide ribosomal RNA is filed under the name uncultured bacterium. RNAcentral describes it as "partial 16S ribosomal RNA". It matches the Rfam family "Bacterial small subunit ribosomal RNA", at positions 28 to 523 of the family's 1533-position model. The record is from RNAcentral.